AGUUUGAGUAAACUCCGGGAGUUGAUGAUGGACAGGGAGGCCUGGCGUGCUGCAGUCCACGGGGUCACAAAGAGUCGGACAGGAUUGAGUGACUGAACUGAACUGAACUGAGUAAAGGGAAAGCAGAGCGGGCAUCCCAGGCCAGGGGAACUGCAGGGGCCGAAGCCUGAGGUGGGAGGGAACACCAGCAGGAGGUAGUUCGGGAGGGCUGCAGAGAAGAGUGGGUAUCAUGGACAUGUUGGGGGACCAGGGUGGCCAGGAAUGAGAACAAAGAGGUAGGGGUGGACUUAAUAGUUGAACUCUGGCAAUGGGAGCCCGAGAGGUUAAGCAGGCCGGAGCCUCGCCAGCUUGUGAUUAGGUUUCAUCAGUUCGUCCUGUGGUUCCACUCAGCAGCUUAUCCAGCUGGGACCUUUUUCUUGCCUCCUCUGCCUCAGUGAGCUCCUCCUCAUCCCCGGGCAGAGAAACCAGCCCUCCUUGGCUCCUGAAAGCUGACUGCAUCGCCCCCAAGGUCCUGGAUAGCUGAACACAGGGAGGAGCAUGAAACAGGCCGCUUACUGGAAUGAAUAGUACGACCCGGAAACCUCCCUCCACGUCUUCCUGUCUCACCAGGAGAAUUCUGUUCGGGUGAUAGAUAAUUGGAAUGGAUUUGGCCAGCCGGCCUGCAUAGAAAUGAUGAUGCUAUGUUUGUUCAUCUGUCAGGAGAGUAAAGAGCAAAGCUGGUAA
Molecule: long non-coding RNA, 723 nt
Organism: Bubalus bubalis (water buffalo)
Lineage: Eukaryota; Metazoa; Chordata; Mammalia; Artiodactyla; Bovidae
Exons: 2
Source: RefSeq, a predicted model, not a curated record